AACGCACAUUGCGCUCUCUGGUACUCCGGAGAGCAUGCCCGUUUCAGAAUCAAUAAAAACCUCACCAAGCUCAUUGCUCUCAAGCAUUGAGCAUGGCUGGAUCUGGAUUUUUGCGUUUGCAAUUAUCUUAAAGUGAUUGUUUGUGCACCAAUUGAAAGUAUCUUUUGGUUGUUCAAGUGCAACAGAUUUAUCUAUUUCGCUUUGGCAACUGAUUGACGCCUUUGAUGCUCAGGCUUCUAACAACUGAGGAGUUCAAAUCGGAAUGAUUUGGAUCUCCCAAAACCUUGAUCUGAAAUCGGGCAAGAAAACCCGCUGAACUUAA
RNAcentral lists this unclassified non-coding RNA (322 nucleotides) under uncultured Spizellomycetales. RNAcentral's name for it is "sequence contains 5.8S rRNA gene, ITS2, 28S rRNA gene". The record is from RNAcentral. Lineage: Eukaryota; Fungi; Chytridiomycota; Chytridiomycetes; Spizellomycetales.